This 63-nucleotide transfer RNA is filed under the name Paracladura trichoptera. RNAcentral's name for it is "tRNA-Val". Lineage: Eukaryota; Metazoa; Arthropoda; Insecta; Diptera; Trichoceridae. The record is from RNAcentral.
CUCUAUAAAUUUAAUAAUUUUAUUUACAUUAAAAUGAAAUUUGUGAAAAUCAAGUUAUAGUGA